Melopsittacus undulatus (budgerigar) is the source of this 1055-nucleotide long non-coding RNA. RefSeq lists it as uncharacterized. The record is from RefSeq and is a predicted model, not a curated record. Lineage: Eukaryota; Metazoa; Chordata; Aves; Psittaciformes; Psittaculidae. The transcript is spliced from 3 exons.
GCUGUCAGGCUCCGGCACCUUCCAGUCCAACUUCCUGCCCUUCUCAUAGAGCCCCUUGAGCACCUUGCGGAAGUCCUCGGGCUCGGCCCCAGGUGGGCUCAGCUCCAGGUACUUGCGGUAGAGCUGCAGAGCUGUGCGCGCGUCCUCGAUGCUGUCGUGGGUCUCACCCUGGAUCUUGAGCCAACACUGAAGCACUGACCGAGGAAGUACCAGGCCAGGAAGCGCAGGGAGAUCAUCCUCUUCCUGGGGAUGUGGAACAGGUUGAUGACUCGGAAGUCCUUCUGCAGCCCGUGCCCCACAAACUUGACCCCCACGUCGAUGAGGAAACGCAGCUUCAGGUAUGUGGAUUUGAGGGUGGUCAGAUGCUUGGAGGAGAUCUUGGCAUCCAGGUCUCCAGGUUUGAUCCCCGAGUACUGGGUCAGGUAAUCCACCACCUGCCGGGAGCAGAGCCCAUGGGACGGCUGCAGCCUCCCCUCCUGCCCUGCCAGCAUCCCAAGGUGGGUGCUGGCAUUGCCGUGGGUGCCCCUCCAUGGACCUGGUCCCUCCUGUGACCCCAUAGGAGGGGCAGAACGGGUCCAUGUCCUUGUGGGGUCCAGGCAGGACCUCCUGUACCUGCUCCUGUGUGGAGAUGUAGUCAUCGAUGAAGGGGACGCCCUCGUUGGGGCCCUGCCCGCGCACACACGUGAUCCUGGCCACCGACAUCUGGCUGGGCUUGAUGGUGGAUUUGGUGCCAUCGCUGCGGAGCUCGGCCUCCUCCUGCGGUGGGGAUGGGGCAGCUCAGAGCCACCCUAUGGGGCUGCCCCAGUGCCCCUGACCCCAUCCCAGGGACCUGACCUCGUUCAAGGUGACGAACUCAGCAUCCAGCCCCACCAGGUCUCCAGCCUGUGGCAUCUCACUCAGCAGCAGUGGGAUGAAGGUAGCGUGGCACUUGCGCUGCUUGCGCGCCAGCGACGCCUCCGCCAGCAGCACACUGGCCUCAAUGGGGUUCUUGACUGCCAGGGGAUGGGGAUGGGGCUGAGCCCUAUGGCAGAGCCAGCACUGGUGCCCCACUCCCA